GCUGCGCUCAAUGAUCAACAUGGUGAAGAGAGCUUGUACUUUGGGAGUUACUACUGCUAUGUUGUCAAACCAGGGGUCUUUGCUGGUGGUGCUGUCUUGGCCCUUGCAAGCGUCACCCUUGGAAUUCUCUAUUACCUUACUUUCAACUCAUCAAAGAGUGUUAAUAGUCCUUGGGGCAAUCCUCCUGUUUCUAAUCCAAGUGGCAUAGCCAUGGGACAACAUAUCACACCACAGACCACUCAAGAUCCUGUUUUUGUACACGAAGAUACUUAUAUGAGACGACAGUUCACUUGAUCGGUGAUUUCUGAACCCAUUUGGAUUGCACUGCUAAAUGUCAUAGACAUGCACUUUUCAAUCUCAUAGCUUCUUAUUAGCGGCAGGCAGUAUGGGAAAGCUGGGUUUAACUGUGUGGCAUCCUAGUUCCUUUGCUGGCAUUGGUGUAUUCACCUUUAUUUAUUCCUUUUAAAUGAUCAGAGUACACUUCUACAAAUUGUAUUUAUGUAUAUAUACACCCUGGAGGAUUAUUUUGCAGCUUUAAAAAAAAAAAAAAUGUUAGGCCCA
RNAcentral lists this unclassified non-coding RNA (561 nucleotides) under Hevea brasiliensis (rubber tree). The record is from RNAcentral. Lineage: Eukaryota; Viridiplantae; Streptophyta; Magnoliopsida; Malpighiales; Euphorbiaceae.